UGGCCUUCCAAAUACCGUUUCGAUCCCUAACAUCACUGAAGAGACAUAUAUUGUCGAAAUCUAGAUCUGGUGUACAAAAUAAAUAUUGACACCUUAUGUUUGUGGCUUAACAUCUUGGCCACAAGUUAAUUGUUUUCUGUAUAGUAUUAAAUUUAUAUUAAGAUCCAUUUUGUUACAUCUCGUGAUCAAUUUUAUUUGGCAAUCGCCAAUGGCAGUCAGCAGGGUUUAAGAACCUCAGUCGUUCGACCUGUUAGUCAAAUGCGUUUUG
This 268-nucleotide long non-coding RNA is filed under the name Mytilus galloprovincialis (Mediterranean mussel). Lineage: Eukaryota; Metazoa; Mollusca; Bivalvia; Mytilida; Mytilidae. The record is from RNAcentral.